RNAcentral lists this ribosomal RNA (403 nucleotides) under uncultured bacterium. RNAcentral describes it as "bacterial SSU rRNA". It matches the Rfam family "Bacterial small subunit ribosomal RNA", at positions 354 to 774 of the family's 1533-position model. The record is from RNAcentral.
GUGGGGAAUCUUGCACAAUGGGGGAAACCCUGAUGCAGCGACGCCGCGUGAACGAUGAAGCCCUUCGGGGUGUAAAGUUCUUUCGACAGGAACGAUAAUGACGGUACCUGGAGAAGAAGCUGCGGCUAACUACGUGCCAGCAGCCGCGGUAAUACGUAGGCAGCGAGCGUUGUUCGGAGUUACUGGGCGUAAAGAGUGCGUAGGCGGCGAGCCAAGUUUGGUGUGAAAUCUCCCGGCUUAACCGGGAGGGUGCGCCGAAAACUGGUUGGCUGGAGGAUGGGAGAGGAAAGCGGAAUUCCUGGUGUAGCGGUGAAAUGCGUAGAUAUCAGGAGGAACACCUGCGGUGUAGACAGCUUUCUGGACCGAAACUGACGCUGAGGCACGAAAGCGUGGGUAGCAAACA